UGCAUUGCGCAGUGGAGUAUCAUAGCCAAUGAGAUUUAUCCAAGGCGCGAUUAUUGCUAAAUGAAAACUUAUAAGAGCCACAAGGGUGCAGUAGUUAGAGUGCAGUACUGCAGGCUACUUCUGCUGCCUGCUGGCUGCCUAUAAUUUGGCAG
RNAcentral lists this small nuclear RNA (152 nucleotides) under Notechis scutatus (mainland tiger snake). RNAcentral's name for it is "U4 spliceosomal RNA (ENSNSUG00000008268.1)". It matches the Rfam family "U4 spliceosomal RNA". From Rfam's summary of the family: U4 small nuclear RNA (U4 snRNA) is a component of the major U2-dependent spliceosome. The structure of U4 snRNA from yeast and human has been reported. The record is from Rfam by way of RNAcentral. Lineage: Eukaryota; Metazoa; Chordata; Lepidosauria; Squamata; Elapidae.